RNAcentral lists this ribosomal RNA (352 nucleotides) under uncultured soil bacterium. RNAcentral describes it as "bacterial SSU rRNA". It matches the Rfam family "Bacterial small subunit ribosomal RNA", at positions 26 to 371 of the family's 1533-position model. The record is from RNAcentral.
AGGACGAACGCUGGCGGCGUGCUUAACACAUGCAAGUGGAGCGACGAACCAGGCUUCGGCCUGGGGCAGAGCCGCGAACGGGUGAGUAACACGUGGGUAACGUGCCCCGAUGACUGGGACAACCCGGGGAAACCCGGGCUAAUACCGGAUAUGCCCCCUCACGCGAGUGAGGUGUGUAAAGGAAGCUUCGGCCUCCGCAUCGGGGAUCGGCCCGCGGCCCAUUAGCUUGUUGGUGAGGUAACGGCUCACCAAGGCUUCGAUGGGUAGCUGGUCUGAGAGGACGAUCAGCCACACUGGGACUGAGACACGGCCCAGACUCCUACGGGAGGCAGCAGUGGGGAAUCGUUGCGAC